UAGAUMCCCUGGUAGUCCACGCUGUAAACGAUGUCGAUUUGGAGGUUGUGCCCUUGAGGCGUGGCUUCCGGAGCUAACGCGUUAAAUCGACCGCCUGGGGAGUACGGCCGCAAGGUUAAAACUCAAAUGAAUUGACGGGGGCCCGCACAAGCGGUGGAGCAUGUGGUUUAAUUCGAUGCAACGCGAAGAACCUUACCUGGUCUUGACAUCCACAGAACUUUCCAGAGAUGGAUUGGUGCCUUCGGGAACUGUGAGACAGGUGCUGCAUGGCUGUCGUCAGCUCGUGUUGUGAAAUGUUGGGUUAAGUCCCGCAACGAGCGCAACCCUUAUCCUUUGUUGCCAGCGGUUAGGCCGGGAACUCAAAGGAGACUGCCAGUGAUAAAYUGGAGGAAGGUGGGGAUGACGUCAAGUCAUCAUGGCCCUUACGACCAGGGCUACACACGUGCUACAAUGGCAUAUACAAAGAGAAGCGACCUCGCGAGAGCAAGCGGACCUCAUAAAGUAUGUCGUAGUCCGGAUUGGAGUCUGCAACUCGACUCCAUGAAGUCGGAAUCGCUAGUAAUCGUAGAU
This 570-nucleotide ribosomal RNA is filed under the name bacterium. Its description in RNAcentral is "bacterial SSU rRNA". It matches the Rfam family "Bacterial small subunit ribosomal RNA", at positions 779 to 1349 of the family's 1533-position model. The record is from RNAcentral.